AUUGAACGCUGGCGGCAGGCCUAACACAUGCAAGUCGAACGAGGGGCGGACGGGCGAGUAAUGUCUGCAAAACUGCGCGACGGAGGGGUAAAACUAGUGGAAACGGUAGAUAAUACCGCAAAACAUCGUGUGUGCCCAGAUGGGUUUAGCUAGUAGGUGGGGUAACGGCUCACCUGGGCGACGAUCCCUAGCUGGUCUGAGAGGAUGACCAGCCACACUGGAACUGAGACACGGUCCAGACUCCUACGGGAGGCAGCAGUGGGGAAUAUUGCACAAUGGGCGCAAGCCUGAUGCAGCCAUGCCGCGUGUAUGAAGAAGGCCUUCGGGUUGUAAAGUACUUUCAGCGAGGAGGCGUUACUCGCAGAAGAAGCACCGGCUAACUCCGUGCCAGCAGCCGCGGUAAUAC
Molecule: ribosomal RNA, 406 nt
Filed under: uncultured bacterium
Lineage: Bacteria
Description: partial 16S ribosomal RNA
Rfam family: Bacterial small subunit ribosomal RNA
Source: RNAcentral